Molecule: microRNA, 21 nt
Filed under: Homo sapiens (human)
Lineage: Eukaryota; Metazoa; Chordata; Mammalia; Primates; Hominidae
Description: hsa-miR-4680-3p
Source: miRBase by way of RNAcentral
UCUGAAUUGUAAGAGUUGUUA